RNAcentral lists this ribosomal RNA (376 nucleotides) under uncultured bacterium. Its description in RNAcentral is "bacterial SSU rRNA". It matches the Rfam family "Bacterial small subunit ribosomal RNA", at positions 524 to 898 of the family's 1533-position model. The record is from RNAcentral.
UACGGAGGGUGCAAGCGUUAUCCGGAUUCACUGGGUUUAAAGGGUGCGUAGGCGGCUAUUUAAGUCAGUGGUGAAAGCUUCCCGCUUAACGGGAAAACUGCCAUUGAAACUGGGUAGCUUGAGUACGAUUGAUGUGGGCGGAAUACAUCAUGUAGCGGUGAAAUGCUUAGAUAUGAUGUAGAACACCGAUUGCGAAGGCAGCUCACAAAAUCGCAACUGACGCUGAGGCACGAAAGCGUGGGGAGCAAACAGGAUUAGAUACCCUGGUAGUCCACGCCCUAAACGAUGAAUACUCGAUGUAUGCCCUAAUUGAGGGGUAUGCGUCCAAGCAAAAGCGUUAAGUAUUCCACCUGGGGAGUACGGCCGCAAGGUUAAA